UGCCAGCCGCCGCGGUAAUACGGAGGGUGCAAGCGUUAAUCGGAAUUACUGGGCGUAAAGCGCGCGUAGGCGGCUUGUUUAGUCAGCUGUGAAAGCCCUGGGCUUAACCUGGGAACUGCAGUUGAUACUGGCAAGCUAGAGUAUGGGAGAGGGUUGUGGAAUCCCACGUGUAGCGGUGAAAUGCGUAGAUAUGUGGAGGAACAUCAGUGGCGAAGGCGGCAGCCUGGCCCAAUACUGACGCUGAGGUGCGAAAGCGUGGGGAGCAAACAGGAUUAGAUA
This 279-nucleotide ribosomal RNA is filed under the name uncultured bacterium. Its description in RNAcentral is "partial 16S ribosomal RNA". It matches the Rfam family "Bacterial small subunit ribosomal RNA", at positions 506 to 784 of the family's 1533-position model. The record is from RNAcentral.